GACGAACGCUGGCGGCGUGCCUAAUACAUGCAAGUUGAGCGCUGAAGGUUGGUACUUGUACCGACUGGAUGAGCAGCGAACGGGUGAGUAACGCGUGGGGAAUCUGCCUUUGAGCGGGGGACAACAUUUGGAAACGAAUGCUAAUACCGCAUAAAAACUUUAAACACAAGUUUUAAGUUUGAAAGAUGCAAUUGCAUCACUCAAAGAUGAUCCCGCGUUGUAUUAGCUAGUUGGUGAGGUAAAGGCUCACCAAGGCGAUGAUACAUAGCCGACCUGAGAGGGUGAUCGGCCACAUUGGGACUGAGACACGGCCCAAAUUCCUACGGGAGGCAGCAGUAGGGAAUCUUCGGCAAUGGACGAAAGUCUGACCGAGCAACGCCGCGUGAGUGAAGAAGGUUUUCGGAUCGUAAAACUCUGUUGGUAGAGAAGAACGUUGGUGAGAGUGGAAAGCUCAUCAAGUGACGGUAACUACCCAGAAAGGGACGGCUAACUACGUG
RNAcentral lists this ribosomal RNA (497 nucleotides) under uncultured bacterium. RNAcentral describes it as "partial 16S ribosomal RNA". It matches the Rfam family "Bacterial small subunit ribosomal RNA", at positions 28 to 507 of the family's 1533-position model. The record is from RNAcentral.